CACACCCUAUACACACACACACACACACACCCUAUACACACACACAUAUGCACACACACACCCUAUACACACACACACACACCCUAUACACACACACACACACACCCUAUACACACACACACCCUAUACACACACACACACACACACCCUAUACACACACACACACAUACACACACACAUACACACACACACCCUAUACACACACACACACCCUACACACACACACACACACACCCUAUACACACACACACACACACCCUAUACACACACACACACACCCUAUACACACACACACACCCUAUACACACACACACACACACCCUAUACACACACACACACACCCUAUACACACACACACACACACACACACACACACACACACACCCUAUCCUUCUUAACCUUCCCAAAUAAGGGACUCCUUCUCCAGCAGGAGUGUGUGCAGUUCCAUCCUCUGCCGCCGCCCAAGGUCUAAACAGGAAGAUGGACGUGAACCUGAGGCAGAGCAGACCUGCACCUUGGUGGCACAUUCCCCAGUAAAUAGCCACUGUGCCCGAAAUGGAGUCAACUUGUCCAGCUUCCUUCCUGGGGUAAUCACAAAUUGUCACGAUUCAGGUGUCACUCAGAAGCAUUCGGUGGCUAUCCUUGUCUUUGGUAACGCCUCUUGCCCUCAGAUGUCUGCUGAGGACCUGAAGGCCAGAUGCAGGUGUGACAGCAAGGCCACUCAACGCAGAGACCUGCCCCCAACAGGAGCUCUGAGAUCUCUUUCAGGAAAUAACUGUGGCCAAGCUGGGUUCCGGACGAUGAGUUGCAGCCACCCACAUCGCUGACUAGAGUUAUUCUGUCAUCUGCAACAAGGGUCACAUGAGCAAAUGCAGGUGGCACAACCUCAUAGGACUUAAAAGGGAAUUAUCGGUACUGGUGCACAUGGAGAAAAGCGGCAACACACCCUAAAUGUCACCCAAGCGCAGAUCAAUGGCAGUGGAAUCAGAGAGAGUUGGGUUCAAAUCCUGACAUUGCACCUACCUCUAAUGGCUUCAGUUGUUCUCUCUGGGGCUUGGCUUCUUCACUGUGAAAGCCAGACAAUACCACCUGGCUAAUCAAGUAAGAUGACAUCACCCUUGCGUAGUCACAGGCGUGUUCAGCUAAUGCCAAAUUUCUCUUUAAUUAACGUGUGUCUGUCAUCCAGACAAAAAUGGAAGGAAAGGGCAAAAACAAAACAAAGACUCACCCACACAGCCAGCCCUUCAGACUCCGAAGUGAAGCCAUUCGCAUUUGAACCGCACCUUGUGGUUUGCUAAGCAGCUCUGUGCCGGACGGUCUCACAGAAUUCUGCAGUGACCUUGUAACCACAGCCAAGACACAAGCAAACGAAUGGAUGACUUCAGAGGUGCUCUCCAGCCCACAUGAGAACAAAGCACCCUUGUUCAGCUCUUCUUUAAGCAGCCAUGCUGCAAACCAUAGACAGAACCCUGUAUAAGGGAAGAGGGAAAACUGAGAUGGGAAUGGUGGCUCACCCAACCCUAGACAUCCAACAUCCUUAAAAACUAUCCAUGAGAUUCACCUGUGCUGCCCGUGUAUUCCUGGACGCGUGGCCUUCCCUGGAACACGGUCAACCCACCAGAGGCUGCCCUUAAAGCAAAAGGAACAGGAGCCCCCUCUACCGGAAGCCGUCAGUUGUCAACAGCUCCGCCCUGGGAUGCUGUCUGUAUUGAAAAUACUUCUAACAUGGACACUUUAAGAAUUCCUGUACUCUAUUGUAAGACUUCAUUAUCUGUGGGGUUUUUAGAAGAUAACUUUUAAAAACUAAGUGGGGGGAAACAUUGCUAUAAACAUAU
Non-coding RNA from Rattus norvegicus (Norway rat), 1835 nucleotides. The record is from RefSeq and is a predicted model, not a curated record. Lineage: Eukaryota; Metazoa; Chordata; Mammalia; Rodentia; Muridae.